This 363-nucleotide long non-coding RNA is filed under the name Setaria viridis. RNAcentral describes it as "long non-coding RNA (SVIR_LNC004741)". Lineage: Eukaryota; Viridiplantae; Streptophyta; Magnoliopsida; Poales; Poaceae. The record is from RNAcentral.
CACGCCAGCGCAUCAGGGGUAGCUCUUGCCAGCGGUCGACGGCCGGAGAUCGAGCCAGAGGGGACGGCGCACGGCUGUAGCGGAGCGCCGGCGCAGCAGCAAAACGGCAGGGGCGCAGGCCGAGGCAAGCGGCGGUUGAAGAUGCAGGCGGCGGGUGUAUGGCAAUGCAGGGCGUUGGCACGAUGGCGCAAGGGAGAAGCGGCAGCAGGAGGUCUGAGGAGGCCCGGGCGCUUUAUAGGGGUGGAGGAAGGGAAACGGAGGCGGCUCAGGAGGUGAAUCGCGGAGUAACGGCCGGCGGCCAGAGUGGUGGCACCAUUCAUGGCGGCUGGUUGGUGGAGCGGCAAUUUCCGGCCGAAGGGAGGA